This 119-nucleotide ribosomal RNA is filed under the name Pteropus alecto (black flying fox). Lineage: Eukaryota; Metazoa; Chordata; Mammalia; Chiroptera; Pteropodidae. The record is from RNAcentral.
GUCCACAGCCACGCCACCCUGAACGCGCCCGAUCCCAUCUGAUGUCAGAGCCUAAGCCGGGUCGGGCCUGGUUAGUACUUGGAUGGGAGACCACCUGGGAAGACCAGGUGCUGCAGGUG